GGAGGUAGGACUCCUGGAGCACCCUGGGGGGAGGCAGAGACAGAGCGGCAGUGCAGGUUUGAAGAUUUCUCACUGCAGCUGUUCACAGCUCUGCUUGCAGCAGUUUCCACCACCUGGAUUAUCCCAAGCUCUUCCUCCUCUGGCAGACGGAAAUUGUGUAGAGAUUGUCACAGGAUCCUUUUCUGAGCAACGGAGGAGAAGGAAUCGCCUUGUGCAAUCACAAAAUGAGCGAGAUUUUACAGUCUCCUGACAGCUCUACCUACCUAAGUGCUGCGUGCGCACGUGAAAUAGCUAUCAUCAGAACUGCACCAGCAGCUAAGGAGUAAAAGGAAACCUUAACCAAAGCCCUGACAUCCCCCAAGGAUGUAUUUCACCAACGUGAUCCUGCCUCUGGAAAGUGGGCUGCAAGAUGCAAAUGACCUGAGGAAAUCUGCCUCCUGAUUGGCCAAAACUCCUCCCAGCCCACAGUCUGAAACCUGAGUCCCCAUCCAUAAAUACCCUCAAGUCAAACUGCCGCAUAAAACAUCUAAGAAAUGUUGCCUGCACAAAGCCACUUCCCCCCAAGAAGGGAAAUCUUCACAAAGUAGGGAAGGCAGAGGGGCAGUUUGGAACAGGCGAAAACCGUCUCCCAGCAGCCUCCCUUUAAUUAAAUGAUAGGAUAUUAAAUAAAUCUUUAGCACAAAAAUACUAAAACUCUGUGUACUCAGCAAACAAAAUGAGUCAGCAAAUUGUUUUUUCAAGCAUUUCAAGGUUACUGAAAUUGACCUAUUGUCCCAGCUAAUGCAUCUUUGGCUUCCUACAUGUUAAAAAGCUUUGGAAAAUUUAAAAGACAAUAUUCUAACUCUCAGAAGGCAGCACCAUCCUAACACCAAAGAGAGUUUUGAGAGGAGCUAUCAAGUGUGAGCUCAGAAGAGGGAAUGCCUGCAGAUCUGUUUAGAAGUGGAACAUAAAUUAUCUCAGUCACUCCCCGUGGGAACUGUGAAAAAUGGGUAUAAGAAUAUCCACUUCAGGGGUGCAGAAGGGAGGCUUAGAGAGGCAGUCAUUGGCCCCAGGAAUUCUGACCUGUCUCCUUACCAUCAGCUGCUUCUGCCAGGCCAGCUUUCACAGGUUAAGAGAGUGCAUAUUAAUGACAAAUAGAUUUUUCAUUAUCAUGGAAAAACCGACAUGACUGUCUCCACCUUUAGGAAAGAAUUAAGGAUGGCAGACCCCAAUACCAACUGCUGUUACUCCAUCCCACAUGUGGAAGGUGAGGCGGUGUACAGUGAGUGAGGCUGGGGAGCCCACACACUGGAAUCCAGCGGCACUGCCCCACACAGUGUUUCCCACACAGUGCAGCCAGGAGCAUGUUGCCAACACACUGUGCCAUUAAUUAUGGUAAGAAUGUUUCAAGCUGCACACAGCCGUUAUGAGUCAUUUUCUCAUUCUGCAAAUGAGAUUUAGACGAGUGCGAUGAUUCACUUAGGAUCAUGCAGUUAGAAUGUGAACCUAGGUCACCUUGCUUGAAAUCCAACAAUUUUUAAAGAAAAUAUUAAAAAUUUCUGGACACUAUAUUCAAAGUCUUUCCAGUUACAUCUGUUCUAACAGUGCAUUCAUAGACUCAUACUAUCUAAGAAUUUUUGGAAAA
Cavia porcellus (domestic guinea pig) is the source of this 1624-nucleotide long non-coding RNA. RefSeq lists it as uncharacterized. The transcript has 2 exons. NCBI's taxonomy places the organism in Eukaryota, Metazoa, Chordata, Mammalia, Rodentia, Caviidae. The record is from RefSeq and is a predicted model, not a curated record.